ACGCUGGCGGCACGCCUAACACAUGCAAGUCGAACGAAGUAGCAAUACUUAGUGGCAGACGGGUGAGUAACAUGUAGGUAUCUGCCCUUCGGCCUGGAAUAACACGAGGAAACUUGUGCUAAUACCGGAUAAGUCUUUACGGAGAAAGCUUUAUGCACCAUUGGAUGAGCCUGCACUUGAUUAGUUUGUUGGUGGGGUAAUGGCCUACCAAGACUGUGAUCAAUAGCUGAUUUGAGAGGAUGAUCAGCCACAUUGGGACUGAGACACGGCCCAAACUCCUACGGGAGGCAGCAGUGGGGAAUCUUGCACAAUGGAGGAAACUCUGAUGCAGCGAUGCCGCGUGAGUGAAGAAGGCCCUUGGGUUGUAAAGCUCUUUCGUCGGGGAAGAAAAUGACUGUACCCGAAUAAGAAGGUCCGGCUAACUUCGUGCCAGCAGCCGCGGUAAUACGAAGGGACCUAGCGUAGUUCGGAAUUACUGGGCUUAAAGAGUUCGUAGGUGGUUGAAAAAGUUAGUGGUGAAAUCCCAGAGCUUAACUCUGGAACUGCCAUUAAAACUUUUCAGCUAGAGUAUGAUAGAGGAAAGCAGAAUUUCUAGUGUAGAGGUGAAAUUCGUAGAUAUUAGAAAGAAUACCAAUUGCGAAGGCAGCUUUCUGGAUCAUUACUGACACUGAGGAACGAAAGCAUGGGUAGCGAAGAGGAUUAGAUACCCUCGUAGUCCAUGCCGUAAACGAUGUGUGUUAGACGUUGGAAAUUUAUUUUCAGUGUCGCAGGGAAACCGAUAAACACACCGCCUGGGGAGUACGACCGCAAGGUUAAAACUCAAAUGAAUUGACGGGGACCCGCACAAGUAGUGGAGCAUGUGGUUUAAUUCGAAGAUACGCGCAGAACCUUACCAACACUUGACAUGUUCGUCGCGACUCUAAGAGAUUAGAGUUUUCGGUUCGGCCGGACGAAACACAGGUGCUGCAUGGCUGUCGUCAGCUCGUGUCGUGAGAUGUUGGGUUAAGUCCCGCAACGAGCGCAACCCUCACUUUUAGUUGCCAUCAUUAAGUUGGGCACUCUGAAAGAACUGCCAGUGAUAAGCGGGAGGAAGGUGGGGAUGACGUCAAGUCCUCAUGGCCCUUACGUGUUGGGCUACACACGUGCUACAAUGGUAUCUACAACAGGAAGCAAGACUGCGAAGUUAAGCAAAUCCCUAAAAGAUACCUCAGUUCGGAUUGCACUCUGCAACUCGAGUGCAUGAAGCUGGAAUUACUAGUAAUCGUGGAUCAGCGUGCCACGGUGAAUGCGUUCCCGGGUCUUGCACUCACCGC
RNAcentral lists this ribosomal RNA (1313 nucleotides) under uncultured bacterium. RNAcentral's name for it is "16S ribosomal RNA". It matches the Rfam family "Bacterial small subunit ribosomal RNA", at positions 33 to 1393 of the family's 1533-position model. The record is from RNAcentral.